CAAUUUCUUAUUCCAAUGUGAAUUUGAACGUAUGUUGCAUUGGAACCACUCAAUUAUAUUACUUGAACACUCAUUGUUUAUUGGAAUACUGAAUAGUCUUUUGUACUUCCAAUUCAUGACACGUUUUGUUCUUACCUUCCCAAUCAAUUUAUUUCCAACUUCUUCUACCUCAUUUCCUAAUUUUCUCUUCCCUUCAUUUGUUCUUCAUCUACCUCAUCUACUUCAUUUCCUAUUUUUCUCUUCCUUUCAUUUGCUCUUCAUUCUCGGAUCCGCAAUCGUUCAUAUUCUCUCCCAACUUUCAAAAUCCAAAAUCUCUGAUUUCGAUUUCCAACUUCUGCAUAUCCACAACAGAUGUAUUGCAAUCGAUUCAGUUUUUAAAUCAAAAGACAAUUCAUUUGAGAUAUGUUUUCUGCAAAUACUUAUAUUUGCAUAAUGCUGUUACAAUUCGUUUCAGUUCCUACAACUGUCACAUAAUCCUAUUGGGUUUUCAAUUGAAAAGGUGAGGCUGUGUUGCAUUAACAAUAUUUCAAUUUCAAAGUUAAAAAGCUUAAUGAUGUGCCUCUUGGAGAUUACAUCGGAGUUCAAUAGUCCAAGAAAGCUACAUAUGUGCCUCACACUGCAGGUAGGUACUAAGUGAGGCAUGCCAUGGAAAUCUUUCACUUGUCUACUUUAAUAUAAUAAAGUACAAUACAUAUGAAAUCCUAUAAUUAUCCUUAUAAUCACCAUUUUGAGGGUAAUAAUCGGGGACAUAACGGUAAUUGCAUCUCCUUUAUUAUUUUAAUUAAUAAAUAAAUAUUAUAAUUAUUUAGUAACAAUGAUUACACCCUUAACCAAUUAAAUUACACAAACCCUAAUUAUUACUAAUUGUUACAUUGGAACACGCUUUGUAACCAAAUUCACAUGGGUUUUGUUUUUCAUGCAUUGAAAAAUACAUCAGUUUUAAUUUUUAGUCCAUUCCAAUUCUUUCUCACCAGUUUUAAAUUAUUAAAUGUCUCUAAAAAAAAUAAAUCAUUAACUAUUAUUAAAUGUUACCUUUCCCAAUUUCUUAUUCCAAUGUGAAUUUGAACGUAUGUUGCAUUGGAACCACUCAAUUAUAUUACUUGAACACUCAUUGUUUAUUGGAAUACUGAAUAGUCUUUUGUACUUCCAAUUCAUGACACGUUUUGUUCUUACCUUCCCAAUCAAUUUAUUUCCAACUUCUUCUACCUCAUUUCCUAAUUUUCUCUUCCCUUCAUUUGUUCUUCAUCUACCUCAUCUACCUCAUUUCCUAUUUUUCUCUUCCUUUCAUUUGCUCUUCAUUCUCGGAUCCGCAAUCGUUCAUAUUCUCUCCCAACUUUCAAAAUCCAAAAUCUCUGAUUUCGAUUUCCAACUUCUGCAUAUCCACAACAGAUGUAUUGCAAUCGAUUCAGUUUUUAAAUCAAAAGGUGAGGCUGUGUUGCAUUAACAAUAUUUCAAUUUCAAAGUUAAAAAGCUUAAUGAUGUGCCUCUUAGAGAUUACAUCGGAGUUCAAUAGUCCAAGAAUGCUACAUAUGUGCCUCACACUGCAGGUAGGUACUAAGUGAGGCAUGCCAUGGAAAUCUUUCACUUGCUAACUGAAAAUGAGGAUUUAUUGAUUUAUUAUUGGUUUGAUUUCCUGGAUGAUGGCAUUUUUGUAAUAGCUUUUGGAGUGGUUUUAUUUGAGUUGGAGUAUUUACUCA
This is a long non-coding RNA of Vicia villosa (hairy vetch), 1697 nucleotides long. RefSeq lists it as uncharacterized. NCBI's taxonomy places the organism in Eukaryota, Viridiplantae, Streptophyta, Magnoliopsida, Fabales, Fabaceae. The record is from RefSeq and is a predicted model, not a curated record. The transcript is spliced from 8 exons.